This is a long non-coding RNA of Cotesia glomerata, 672 nucleotides long. RefSeq lists it as uncharacterized. The record is from RefSeq and is a predicted model, not a curated record. The transcript has 2 exons. NCBI's taxonomy places the organism in Eukaryota, Metazoa, Arthropoda, Insecta, Hymenoptera, Braconidae.
CCCUACCCGGUAUAGGAUAAUAUAGUAAAUGGUAGUGGUAGCUAGUAACUGGUAGCAGCGUUACCUAAAUAAUAAAUUAUUUAAAUAUUUUAUUCUCAGUGUACCGUUGGUGUUAUAAUAACUACAAUACAGUGUUCUGUUCGAUGAUUCUUUACUUGUACGUGUUAUUUAUUUUAUUUUUUUUUGCCAUUUAUUUAUACGAGUGCCUUGAAAGUUGUUGGCAAAAUAUCGAUUAAUAAACUACUAAUUUAUUAAUGUCUAUGAAAGUAACUGCGUGUUUGACCUGCCGUGGGAAUAUCCUCAAGAAAUAGAAAGUUUUUUAAACUACAGUUUCAAUUUAAUGGACCGAGAAAAAGAAAAAGAAAAUAAAACAAAGAGACACUUGGAAGUCUUCCGUUUGGCGUGCUCGUGACCCUGCACUUCAAGCUUUUCUUAUUAUCCCUAUAAAUACAUCUACAUAGAUCUAUUAUUCUCAUCUACAAUCUUUUAUAUAUUUUUAUUAUACAAUUAAUUAACAUAUUAAUUAUUCAUCACAUGAUAAUAACAAACAAGUGAAUGAUAAUGAGGAAAAUUUAAAUAAUUAAGAUAUAUAUACUAUCUAAAAGGGUAAUCUCCAUGUUAUAAAAAAAAAAAAAAAAAAAAAAAGUCAAGUAAAAUACAGUGCCAUCUUUA